Molecule: long non-coding RNA, 483 nt
Filed under: Callithrix jacchus (white-tufted-ear marmoset)
Lineage: Eukaryota; Metazoa; Chordata; Mammalia; Primates; Cebidae
Description: lncRNA (ENSCJAG00000061418.2)
Source: RNAcentral
UGUUUUUGGGGGAAUAGGGCAAAUUUAUUUGUUUUAGUUUGUAUCCUUUUUGUUGCUGUUCUGGAAAGGGACAAGAAGAAAAAAACUGGGAGAAGACAGGGAGAAGAGCCCAUCCUUAUACUGCAAGGCACUGUUAAAAUAGCCUGCAUACUCAAUAAAUGGCUUCUGUACAACAGCUUAUUAGAAAAAAAACACCCUGAUUCAACAAACACAAAAUUACAUCUUCAUAAAUGCAAUCAGAAGAAAACAACAGAGGAAACAGAGAAGAAUCACAGGAACUGUACAUGCUGCUCGUUGAAGGAGGUGAAACAGAGCUGCCUAGGUGAAAACCAGGAGUCCUAUCCACUAUGCCACCGCGAAGCAGAACAGCUGCAUCUGGAGCUUGGACUCUUGGCCUUCCUAACCCGGAAGAAUGGAGGAUGGGGCCACGGUUUUGCGGUUACCUGGUGCUUCUGUCUCACAGCUCUUAAGAUUCUGUCCUGA